Molecule: ribosomal RNA, 469 nt
Filed under: uncultured bacterium
Lineage: Bacteria
Description: partial 16S ribosomal RNA
Rfam family: Bacterial small subunit ribosomal RNA
Source: RNAcentral
GACGAACGCUGGCGGCGUGCUUAACACAUGCAAGUCGAACGGUGAUGCUCCAGCUUGCUGGAGUGGAUCAGUGGCGAACGGGUGAGUAACACGUGAGCAACCUGCCCCAGACUCUGGAAUAAGCGCUGGAAACGGCGUCUAAUACUGGAUACGAAACUGGCCCGCAUGGGCAUGGUUUGGAAAGUUUUUCGGUUUGGGAUGGGCUCGCGGCCUAUCAGCUUGUUGGUGAGGUAAUGGCUCACCAAGGCGACGACGGGUAGCCGGCCUGAGAGGGCGACCGGCCACACUGGGACUGAGACACGGCCCAGACUCCUACGGGAGGCAGCAGUGGGGAAUAUUGCACAAUGGGCGAAAGCCUGAUGCAGCGACGCCGCGUGAGGGAUGACGGCCUUCGGGUUGUAAACCUCUUUCAGCAGGGAAGAAGCGAAAGUGACGGUACCUGCAGAAGAAGCACCGGCUAACUACGUGC